Molecule: long non-coding RNA, 1399 nt
Organism: Neofelis nebulosa (Clouded leopard)
Lineage: Eukaryota; Metazoa; Chordata; Mammalia; Carnivora; Felidae
Exons: 4
Source: RefSeq, a predicted model, not a curated record
GUUAAGCAGAAACCAACUCAUCUUUUUUAAGUUGAUAAGGAUUAACUUUCCCCUUGUGUGUCCCUGUUUGCAGGGACUUCUGGAAAGUUCAGGCUAAGUUUCUUGCUAAAUCACAUCAAUGAAAUCAACCUCAAUGAUGGUUAACUAUAAAGUGAAGGGGUGGUUGCAUUGAUCUUCUUCCCUUAGAAAAUUGCCACAUGAUUCCCAGUCACAUCAGUUUUGGCAAUAAAAUGGUACCUGAAGUCAGCUGCUAAAGAUUCUGAAGAUGACUCCUAGGAGCAAGUGAAGAUGCCUCAGAGCCUUAUUUCUUUGUGGCCUCUUCAGCACUCUCCAGGAUCUCUGUUCUUUGCCUCAGGAAGAUAUUGAACAGCUUAUAGAAUGUGGGAAAAGCUUCAAUAUUUGCUUAUUAACAAGAUUAUUUUGGCAAUAUAUGAAAGAGAGAUUGAAGAAAAGAGACAGGUGAAAUACUCUGGAGAUUCUGAAUUUACUGUUUCACAUGUGGAUCAACUAAGACAGUAUGUUUUGAGUAGCAGUAAUACUGAAGAAUGCUUAUAGAUGUUACUUUUUUAAAAAUGCCGUGUAAAUGACUUUAUUAAAUGCUAUGGAGGAAGAGUAAGCUCUGUUAUGCUAUGUGUGCCUUAUAUAAAAGAUGGACUAGACUGACCUGUGGAGUAAGAAAAGUUUUCCAGAGGACCUAAUUUUAGAGUGUUCCACCUGAUUAACAUCUCAGCAUUAGCUGGGAGAAAUGGGGGUCAAAGGAGAGAACAGAAUGCUCCAUGAAAGGGAACAGGAGGAAAGGAAUAUGGUUCUAGGACUGAAAAAUUACCAAUGUGACUGGCAAAUAGAAAGGAAAAAAUGUCAUGAAAUUAGAACGGAUAGGUGGGCAGAGUUUCGGUUAAGGACGUAUUCAAGUUAAUAAAGUUGUUAAGUCCAUCUUAUCAACAUCCCAAGUUUCCUAGAAUGUUCAUUGGGAUAUCUUACUUAAGGGUACAAUUAAACAAAUUUUAUUCCUAGAGAAAUGAAAAGUCAUUGUAGGUUUUAUAACAGGCAAGGGAUGAUAAUAAUAGAAUUGUGUCUUACAAAGAAUAUUCUAGUUUCUGUGUAAAAAAUGGAUAGUUCAGAGGAUAUAUCUGCAGGGCAGUGAGGAGUGUAGGUGAAAGAAGAUGGUGAUUCAAAGUGGAAUGGUGAUGGAUGAGCUAGAAAGAAAUAGACAAAUUUAGUAAAUAGCAAACAGAAUUAACAGGAAUUGGUGACUUGGGAUGUGAGUACUCUAGUUACCUAUUGCUGUCUAAAAAAUUAGCACAAAUUUAGCAACUUAACACCAAUUUGUUUGCUCACAUUUCUGUGGGUCAGAAGUCUAGCACAGUGUGGCUGGAAACUAGGUAUCAUGAGGCUGAAA